GAACGAGUUCUCGUUGAUGAUCGGUGCUUGCACCGAGAUUCAACAUGGAACGAGUGGCGGACGGGUGAGUAACACGUGGGUAACCUGCCCUUAAGUGGGGGAUAACAUUUGGAAACAGAUGCUAAUACCGCAUAGAUCCAAGAACCGCAUGGUUCUUGGCUGAAAGAUGGCGUAAGCUAUCGCUUUUGGAUGGACCCGCGGCGUAUUAGCUAGUUGGUGAGGUAAUGGCUCACCAAGGCGAUGAUACGUAGCCGAACUGAGAGGUUGAUCGGCCACAUUGGGACUGAGACACGGCCCAAACUCCUACGGGAGGCAGCAGUAGGGAAUCUUCCACAAUGGACGCAAGUCUGAUGGAGCAACGCCGCGUGAGUGAAGAAGGCUUUCGGGUCGUAAAACUCUGUUGUUGGAGAAGAAUGGUCGGCAGAGUAACUGUUGUCGGCGUGACGGUAUCCAACCAGAAAGCCACGGCUAACUACGUGCCAGCAGCCGCGGUAAUACGUAGGUGGCAAGCGUUAUCCGGAUUUAUUGGGCGUAAAGCGAGCGCAGGCGGUUUUUUAAGUCUGAUGUGAAAGCCCUCGGCUUAACCGAGGAAGCGCAUCGGAAACUGGGAAACUUGAGUGCAGAAGAGGACAGUGGAACUCCAUGUGUAGCGGUGAAAUGCGUAGAUAUAUGGAAGAACACCAGUGGCGAAGGCGGCUGUCUGGUCUGUAACUGACGCUGAGGCUCGAAAGCAUGGGUAGCGAACAGGAUUAGAUACCCUGGUAGUCCAUGCCGUAAACGAUGAAUGCUAGGUGU
Molecule: ribosomal RNA, 795 nt
Filed under: uncultured bacterium
Lineage: Bacteria
Description: bacterial SSU rRNA
Rfam family: Bacterial small subunit ribosomal RNA
Source: RNAcentral